GGGUGAGUAACGCGUAGGUAAGCUACCAUAAGGUCUGGGAUAGCCCUACGAAAGUAGGAUUAAUACCGGGUAAGCUUUACUUUCAUAAGAUAGUAAAGGAAAGGCUUCGGCCACCUUUUGAUGUGCCUGCGUUGGAUUAGCUUGUUGGUGUGGUAAUGGCACACCAAGGCGACGAUCUAUAGCCGAGCUGAGAGGCUGAUCGGCCACAUUGGAACUGAGACACGGUCCAGACUCCUACGGGAGGCAGCAGCUAAGAAUCUUCCGCAAUGGACGAAAGUCUGACGGAGCGACGCCGCGUGAAUGAUGAAGGCCCUUCGGGUUGUAAAAUUCUUUUAUAGGGGAAGAAUGUAUGGUGUAGGCCAUUCUGACGGUACCCUAUGAAUAAGGUCCGGCUAACUACGUGCCAGCAGCCGCGGUAAUACGUAGGGACCUAGCGUUGUUCGGAAUUAUUGGGCGUAAAGGGUACGUAGGCGGCUUAGUAAGUCGGAUGUGAAACUCUCGGGCUCAACCUGAGAACUGCGUCCGAUACUGCUUGGCUAGAGUUACGGAGAGGAAGGCGGAAUUCCUGGUGUAGGGGUGAAAUCUAUAGAUAUCAGGAAGAACACCUAUUGCGAAGGCAGCCUUCUGGACGUCAACUGACGCUGAUGUACGAAAGUUAGGGUAGCAAACAGGAUUAGAGACCCUGGUAGUCCUAACCGUAAACGUUGUAUACUAGGUGGUGGGAGUAUUGAUCCUUUCACUGCCGGAGCAAACGCAUUAAGUAUACCGCCUGGGGAGUAUGCCGGCAACGGUGAAACUCAAAGGAAUUGACGGGGGCCCGCACAAGCAGUGGAGCAUGUUGUUUAAUUCGAUGAUACGCGAGAAACCUUACCAGGUCUUGACAUAUACUUGAAUGGUGUAGAAAUACAUCAGCUUUUCGGAGCAGGUAUACAGGUGCUGCAUGGUUGUCGUCAGCUCGUGCCGUGAGGUGUUGGGUUAAGUAUCCGCAACGAUGCGCAACUCCUUAUUCGUUUGUUGAUAACGUGUAAUGGCGAGCACUUUAAGGAGACUUCCGGUGUCAAACCGGAGGAAUGUGGGGAUGAUGUCAAAUCAUCAC
RNAcentral lists this ribosomal RNA (1096 nucleotides) under uncultured organism. RNAcentral's name for it is "bacterial SSU rRNA". It matches the Rfam family "Bacterial small subunit ribosomal RNA", at positions 104 to 1196 of the family's 1533-position model. The record is from RNAcentral.